GACGAACGCUGGCGGCGUGCUUAAAAACAUGCAAGUCGAACGGACUUCUCAUGAAGCUUGCGAUUGAGAAGUUAGUGGCGGACGGGUGAGUAACGCGUGGGCAACCUGCCCCUGAGCCCGGGAUAACAGUUCGAAAGGACUGCUAAGACCGGAUAUACUUGCGGUGAAGCAUUUCACUGCAAGGAAAGGGAACGCUCAGGGAUGGGCCCGCGUCCCAUUAGCUAGUUGGUGAGGUAACGGCCCACCAAGGCGACGAUGGGUAGCCGGCCUGAGAGGGUGAACGGCCACACUGGGACUGAGACACGGCCCAGACUCCUACGGGAGGCAGCAGCUAAGAAUAUUCCGCAAUGGGCGCAAGCCUGACGGAGCAACGCCGCGUGAGUGAAGAAGGCCUUCGGUUGUAAAACUCUGUCAUCAGGGAAGAAGAAAGUGACGGUACCUGAGGAGGAAGCCCCGGCUAACUACGUG
This 468-nucleotide ribosomal RNA is filed under the name uncultured bacterium. RNAcentral describes it as "bacterial SSU rRNA". It matches the Rfam family "Bacterial small subunit ribosomal RNA", at positions 28 to 507 of the family's 1533-position model. The record is from RNAcentral.